GCCCAGGUGGCGGAAUUGGUAGACGCGCUGGUUUCAGGUACCAGUGGAGCGAUCCUUGGAGGUUCGAGUCCUCUCCUGGGCACCA
RNAcentral lists this transfer RNA (85 nucleotides) under Povalibacter uvarum. RNAcentral's name for it is "tRNA-Leu". It matches the Rfam family "tRNA". From Rfam's summary of the family: Transfer RNA (tRNA) molecules are approximately 80 nucleotides in length. Their secondary structure includes four short double-helical elements and three loops (D, anti-codon, and T loops). RNAcentral also lists the same sequence under 4 other names. Lineage: Bacteria; Pseudomonadati; Pseudomonadota; Gammaproteobacteria; Steroidobacterales; Steroidobacteraceae. The record is from RNAcentral.